UUGACAGCUCUGGGGACUGAAAUAAUCUUCUUCUCCCCAGAACAGGUGCAGCACUGGCAGGAGCAGUACAAUCUUCCAAUACUGCCCCACCAAACACUGACCUGGAUGGACUACCUUUAAAAAUGAGAAGAUAAAUCAGCCUCCAUGUCCAUUCAAUCCUUGGCCUCU
Molecule: small RNA, 168 nt
Filed under: Gopherus agassizii (Agassiz's desert tortoise)
Lineage: Eukaryota; Metazoa; Chordata; Testudines; Testudinidae
Description: TUC338 (ENSGAGG00000020786.1)
Source: RNAcentral